Ribosomal RNA from Protopterus annectens (West African lungfish), 154 nucleotides. RefSeq annotates it as 5.8S ribosomal RNA. The transcript has a single exon. The record is from RefSeq and is a predicted model, not a curated record. Lineage: Eukaryota; Metazoa; Chordata; Ceratodontiformes; Protopteridae.
GGCUCUGAGUGGUGGGUCACUCAGCUCAUGCAUCGAUGAAGAAUGCAGCUAGCUGCAAGAAAUAAUGUGAAUUGCAGGACACAUUGAUCAUCAACACUUUGAACACACUUUGUGGCUCCGGGUUAUUCCCUGUGCUAUGCCUGUCUGAGGGUCA